GAUGAACGCUGGCGGCGUGCCUAAUACAUGCAAGUCGAACGCUGGAGAUCUAGCUUGCUAGAUCGAAGGAGUGGCGAACGGGUGAGUAAUACAUAAGCAACCUACCCACGAAGACUGGGAUAAUCUCUGGAAACUGGGACUAAUACCGGAUAGGUAAUCGGAAGGCAUCUUCUGGUUAUUAAAGGUUAAAAACACUGGUGGAUGGGCUUAUGGCGCAUUAGUUAGUUGGUGAGGUAACGGCCCACCAAGACGAUGAUGCGUAGCCGGCCUGAGAGGGUGAACGGCCACAUUGGGACUGAGACACGGCCCAGACUCCUACGGGAGGCAGCAGUAGGGAAUUUUCGGCAAUGGGGGCAACCCUGACCGAGCAACGCCGCGUGAGUGAAGACGGCCUUCGGGUUGUAAAGCUCUGUUGUAAGGGAAGAACGGUAGAUAGAGAAUAUCUAAGUGACGGUACCUUACCAGAAAGCCACGGCUAACUACGUG
This 486-nucleotide ribosomal RNA is filed under the name uncultured bacterium. RNAcentral describes it as "partial 16S ribosomal RNA". It matches the Rfam family "Bacterial small subunit ribosomal RNA", at positions 28 to 507 of the family's 1533-position model. The record is from RNAcentral.